Oreochromis aureus is the source of this 612-nucleotide long non-coding RNA. The record is from Ensembl. NCBI's taxonomy places the organism in Eukaryota, Metazoa, Chordata, Actinopteri, Cichliformes, Cichlidae.
UGCUUAACAGAGAGAGGCUCCGCCCAGCAAUUAGACACAGGUGGAGCAGAUUAGGACAGAGCAGGUAAUCAGACAGGUGGGCUGGACCUGAGAGAGGACAUGGGCUGCUGCGUGCCAAAUAAUCCAUUUCAGGGCAUGUGACAUAUUUGCCACAACAGUGUCUUAAUCUGAAUGGAGGGGGAGAGCAGUAGCCUACAGGAGUGAAGCAUGCAUAAAAAACAGCACAAUAACCCCUCCACCUCCACCACCACCAGCAGUGUUGCUCUGAAGCACGUCAGAGGAAGCGGGCUAUGAAUCGAGGUGCACAGCGGGGUAAAGAAAACAUUUCUUGGGGACACAGCUAGGGGACAGUGCCGGUCUCCUGACUCGGGACUGACACUCCCCUCCCCUCCACGCACACAAACUAACAUCCCGGAAAGCUUCAAGUCCACAUCGCGCUGCAGGGGAAAACAUCUGAGGUAAUUAUGCAGAGUUUUUUGCACUUCUCUGCUCGCUUUGAAACAAUGUGAGCCGAAUAAGGGAGGGAGUGGAGGCGGUGGCGGAGGUAAUGGUGGUGAGGAUGUCAACUCAGUGGUAAAGUCAAGAGGCACGUGUUUGUUUUUGAAGUGGGGG